AAAGAUUACAAAAAUCAUUAUUGUGUUAAAUGAUGAGUGAAAAUGAGAUGCAAUUCUAAAGAACAUUCUCGUUUACUGAUAUUUGUGUGUGUUUUUGACGUUGUUAAGAUUAUGCAACGUGCCAAAAUAUAGGGGGGCUCAGCACGCUGGUCAUAUUCAGCAAAUUUUCUCCCAGGACCGCAGGCUCAUAUUGUCAGUGGACUUGCGGUGUAAAAUUGAAACUUUUGCAUUUUUCAAAGAACUGGCCACUUUCUGUAAGAUGUCCGCUGUCAAUACGAACCCGCACGAGUGGGAGAAAUUUUGCUAAAUUUGACCAACGUGCAGCCCCCAAGUCAACAUGAAAUUUCAACAAGGGGGCUCAGCCCCCCUGAUCCCUCCCUCCAGUACACCACUUGGCCUAUCUUCUAAGCAAGGAAUUUUUUUUUGCACUAUGCCUGGAAAGAUUUUUUUUUUCUUAAUUUUUUUCUGGGAAUAAUUUUUUUUUUUGGUUUUGCCCCACCCACCCCCAUCACUUUUCUA
This 519-nucleotide long non-coding RNA is filed under the name Paramuricea clavata. The record is from RNAcentral. Lineage: Eukaryota; Metazoa; Cnidaria; Anthozoa; Malacalcyonacea; Plexauridae.